AGUUGAUCUUGCCAGUAGUCAUAUGCUUGUCGCAAAGAUUAAGCC
RNAcentral lists this ribosomal RNA (45 nucleotides) under Acacia grandifolia. RNAcentral's name for it is "partial 18S ribosomal RNA". The record is from RNAcentral. Lineage: Eukaryota; Viridiplantae; Streptophyta; Magnoliopsida; Fabales; Fabaceae.